Molecule: ribosomal RNA, 354 nt
Filed under: Stenotrophomonas sp. MP2-3
Lineage: Bacteria; Pseudomonadati; Pseudomonadota; Gammaproteobacteria; Lysobacterales; Lysobacteraceae
Description: bacterial SSU rRNA
Rfam family: Bacterial small subunit ribosomal RNA
Source: RNAcentral
UAAGAGCUUGCUCUUAUGGGUGGCGAGUGGCGGACGGGUGAGGAAUACAUCGGAAUCUACCUUUUCGUGGGGGAUAACGUAGGGAAACUUACGCUAAUACCGCAUACGACCUUCGGGUGAAAGCAGGGGACCUUCGGGCCUUGCGCGGAUAGAUGAGCCGAUGUCGGAUUAGCUAGUUGGCGGGGUAAAGGCCCACCAAGGCGACGAUCCGUAGCUGGUCUGAGAGGAUGAUCAGCCACACUGGAACUGAGACACGGUCCAGACUCCUACGGGAGGCAGCAGUGGGGAAUAUUGGACAAUGGGCGCAAGCCUGAUCCAGCCAUACCGCGUGGGUGAAGAAGGCCUUCGGGUUGU